RNAcentral lists this ribosomal RNA (500 nucleotides) under uncultured soil bacterium. RNAcentral's name for it is "bacterial SSU rRNA". It matches the Rfam family "Bacterial small subunit ribosomal RNA", at positions 26 to 524 of the family's 1533-position model. The record is from RNAcentral.
AGAUUGAACGCUGGCGGCAUGCUUUACACAUGCAAGUCGAACGGUAACAGGCCGCAAGGUGCUGACGAGUGGCGAACGGGUGAGUAAUGUAUCGGAACGUGCCCAGUCGUGGGGGAUAACGCAGCGAAAGCUGCGCUAAUACCGCAUACGAUCUAUGGAUGAAAGCGGGGGACCGUAAGGCCUCGCGCGAUUGGAGCGGCCGAUAUCAGAUUAGGUAGUUGGUGGGGUAAAGGCUCACCAAGCCAACGAUCUGUAGCUGGUCUGAGAGGACGACCAGCCACACUGGGACUGAGACACGGCCCAGACUCCUACGGGAGGCAGCAGUGGGGAAUUUUGGACAAUGGGCGCAAGCCUGAUCCAGCAAUGCCGCGUGCAGGAAGAAGGCCUUGGUUGUAAACUGCUUUUGUACGGAACGAAACGGUCCUGGUUAAUACCUGGGCCUAAUGACGGUACGUAAGAAUAAGCAACCGGCUAACUACGUAGCCAGCAGCCGCGGUAAC